UAACUUUAACUUUAUCUUUUUAUGUAUGGUUGAUUGGGUGGUAAUUAUAUGAUUCAAAACUUUUGUGCCCGGGCUUUGAAAAAGAAUAUCCCACAAACAAAAAAACAUUGCUUAAGGCUAACGACUCAUCCACAAUCAAAAUAUUUCCUAAACUCGUCACUAAUAUCACAUAUUCAAGAUUUAACAAUAUGUCCGGUGUUCGAUGGACGUAUUUUCAAUCCUCAAUUGCUGUUGAAUUUGUAAGCAGCCUACCUAAUCAGUAGGCUUUUUUUCCCCUCCUGUGUGACUUUGCAAGGAUGGUGACCUCUUUCUACGAAGACGAAGACUUCGAGUUGAAGACGAAGACGAAGACUUCGAGUUUAGGGCGCAAACUUCCAGCCGUAUUAUGAUUUUUAUUUCUUUUAUUUUGUUUUUUUAAGGCAACGAAUUCCAGUUUUUCCAUUAAAGGCAGAGACUUUCCAAGUCUUUCUAUUUUCCAACUUGUACGUGGCGCAUGCGAUAACCAAGUUGCAGUAUGAGUUUGAUAUUGAUGUGUUUUAAAAAAAAAAUUAUUGAGUGUUUUGGUAA
This is a long non-coding RNA of Malus domestica (apple), 567 nucleotides long. RefSeq lists it as uncharacterized. The record is from RefSeq and is a predicted model, not a curated record. NCBI's taxonomy places the organism in Eukaryota, Viridiplantae, Streptophyta, Magnoliopsida, Rosales, Rosaceae.